Long non-coding RNA from Manihot esculenta (cassava), 860 nucleotides. RefSeq lists it as uncharacterized. The record is from RefSeq and is a predicted model, not a curated record. Lineage: Eukaryota; Viridiplantae; Streptophyta; Magnoliopsida; Malpighiales; Euphorbiaceae. The transcript is spliced from 2 exons.
UCUAAAUUAACUUCAAUUAUCUGAAACCCCUCAGCUCAAGCUAAAUCUCCCGAAUUUAGCUUUAGCCACUCAUUUUUUGGGAUUCCAUUCAAUUUAAACAUAUAUUUUAAUCCAAAUAAAUUGUAGUUUACUUAACUUUGCAUUGAAUUAAUAUAAUUUUUAUUUAAGAGUUUAUCUGACGAUUAUUAGUGAGGUAAAGGGCCUUUGUUUUUGCCGAUCUCCAACUGCCCCUGCCCCUGCCGGGCGGGGUGGCUCCCUCCCCAUCGCCGGAUGUGGGUUUUUCUACCUACUCUUCCGGGUGAAGGUGGAGGUCUUCUGAAGCUAAGCCUUUGAAGAUUUUGUUCCAAAUGAUGGAGGGGUGGCAUCCUCACAAAGCUUUUUCCUUCAUCCACCAGGGUCAUCGUCUUUGGAGUCCUCCUCCUUACCUCUGGCGAUGGAGAUUGGACUUGAUUGUAGAAGUAUACCAUUCUCUUUCUCAGGCAUCUAGCGGUUCACCGCCCCCUUCUCGACCUGCAUGUGUGUUUAUAUUUGAUCCAAGAUUUGAUCUCCUUCCUUAAUCUUUUGGUUGCUGGUAGUUUUUUUUUUUUUUUAUGGUUUAUCCUCCGUUCAUCAUUAGUCUUUGAUGGCCUUGACUUCUAUUGCUGGAGGACUACUUACAUGUCGACAAUGUUGCCGAAGAGAUUAAGGAAGGAGAGCAUUGCCGAAGAGAUUAAGGAAGGCGAGUGGCGCUUUUGUGGUAGCUGGUCGGGUUGGGUAUCAGAUCAAGGUUGUUGUUCGGGUCUUAGAGUUUGAAGUUCUUGGGCUGCUUUCUUUGAACCUUAAAAUCUUGAGAGUUUAUAAUAAAAUAGUUUUUUAUAUAA